CAGGUUCCAGGCGAAGCUCCCUUUUUCUCAUCGGGCAGCAGAGCCCAGCUGCUGCAUGGUGAUCGAGCUUACCCACCCAAGGCACCGUGGUAACUGUUUGCCUGUCAGCUCAAUAGCACGAGGAGUCUGAGUAGCCAACAGCAGCCCCACUUUCUAAGGUCAUGUAAGGACAGCAAGAUGGUGGCCACCUACAAGCCAAGAGAAGAGCCCCAGGAUGAAACCCAUCUUGCUCACACCUUGAUCUUGGACUUCCCAGCCCUCAGAACUGUGAGGAAAACAUUUCUGUUGUGCAUCAACCCAUGGGGGGCCCUUGCUGUGCCCAGGGUGCUCAGAGAGAAUUUACAACCAGUCCAGCCUCCAAGAGACUCGCAGGCUAGAGGGGAGACACUCACCUACAGCAAGCAAUGAGUGCAAUGUGAUCAUUGCACCUGGGAAGCUUGAAGGAAGAGUGCUCCAGACAGGGAACAGCACGGACAAAAGCCUGGAAGCAAGAGGCAAGGCUGAAAAGAGCAGGGCCAGGGAGAAGGCUGAGUGACAGGAGGAGGGCCAGGGUUCAGGUACAGAGGGGCGGAGCCCUCACCAAGGCCUUUGAACCUUAAACUGGGGCUGGGAGAGCCUGGGCGUGUCUCACAGCGCUCUGCAACUGUCCUUUUACUUGAAAGUCUCCCACCAUCCUGAGGACUCCCAUGGCUGGUGAACUCUGUGAACCCACUCCUGGCAGGAGCCCUGGCACCCCCCGAACACCACACUCUAGUGUCGAGCUGUCCCCACUGGAAUGCAGAUUGGG
Molecule: long non-coding RNA, 787 nt
Organism: Gorilla gorilla gorilla (western lowland gorilla)
Lineage: Eukaryota; Metazoa; Chordata; Mammalia; Primates; Hominidae
Exons: 3
Source: RefSeq, a predicted model, not a curated record